This 484-nucleotide ribosomal RNA is filed under the name uncultured bacterium. RNAcentral's name for it is "partial 16S ribosomal RNA". It matches the Rfam family "Bacterial small subunit ribosomal RNA", at positions 30 to 507 of the family's 1533-position model. The record is from RNAcentral.
AUUGAACGCUGGCGGCAGGCCUAACACAUGCGAGUCGAGCGGAUGAAGGGAGCUUGCUCCUGGAUUCAGCGGCGGACGGGUGAGUAAUGCCUAGGAAUCUGCCUGGUAGUGGGGGGUAACGUCCGGAAACGGGCGCUAAUACCGCAUACGUCCUGAGGGAGAAAGUGGGGGAUCUUCGGACCUCACGCUAUCAGAUGAGCCUAGGUCGGAUUAGCUAGUUGGUGGGGUAAAGGCCUACCAAGGCGACGAUCCGUAACUGGUCUGAGAGGAUGAUCAGUCACACUGGAACUGAGACACGGUCCAGACUCCUACGGGAGGCAGCAGUGGGGAAUAUUGGACAAUGGGCGAAAGCCUGAUCCAGCCAUGCCGCGUGUGUGAAGAAGGUCUUCGGAUUGUAAAGCACUUUAAGUUGGGAGGAAGGGCAGUAAGUUAAUACCUUGCUGUUUUGACGUUACCAACAGAAUAAGCACCGGCUAACUUCGUG